GUACUCUCUUUGACAGCACAUAUACUAAAACUGGAAAGAUAGAGAAGAUUAGCAUGGCCCCUGCGCAAGGAUGAUAUGCAAAUACAUGAAACAUUCCAUAUUUCU
Vicugna pacos (alpaca) is the source of this 105-nucleotide small nuclear RNA. Lineage: Eukaryota; Metazoa; Chordata; Mammalia; Artiodactyla; Camelidae. The record is from Ensembl.